UCCGAGUUGACCCCGGCAGUAUCCCAUGAGUUCCCACCAUUACGUGCUGGCAACAUAGAACGAGGGUUGCGCUCGUUGCGGGACUUAACCCAACAUCUCACGACACGAGCUGACGACAGCCAUGCAGCAUCUGUGGUGCACCCUCGAAGGUCACACGUUUCCGUGCGCUUGCAGCACCAUGUCAAGCCCAGGUAAGGUUCUUCGCGUUGCAUCGAAUUAAAGAACAUGCUCCGCUGCUUGUGCGGGCCCCCGUGGCGUGUUGCCAGCAUUAAGUUGGGGACUCACGCCAGACUGCCGGUGACAAACCGGAGGAAAGUGGGGAUGACGUGUUCGGAUUCUAAG
This 342-nucleotide unclassified non-coding RNA is filed under the name uncultured Actinomycetes bacterium. RNAcentral describes it as "uncultured actinobacterium contains 16S-23S intergenic spacer region". The stretch from base 247 to 321 matches the Rfam family "Bacterial small subunit ribosomal RNA", at positions 1102 to 1178 of the family's 1533-position model. Lineage: Bacteria; Bacillati; Actinomycetota; Actinomycetes. The record is from RNAcentral.